RNAcentral lists this ribosomal RNA (442 nucleotides) under uncultured bacterium. RNAcentral's name for it is "partial 16S ribosomal RNA". It matches the Rfam family "Bacterial small subunit ribosomal RNA", at positions 338 to 795 of the family's 1533-position model. The record is from RNAcentral.
CCUACGGGUGGCAGCAGUGGGGAAUAUUGGGCAAUGGACGCAAGCCUGACCCAGCAACGCAGCGUGCAGGAAGAAGGCUUUCGGGGUGUAAACUUCUUUUGACAGGGAAGAGUAGUGGACGGUACCUGGCGUAUAAGCGACGGCUAACUACGUGCCAGCAGCCGCGUUAAUACGGAGGUGGCAAGCGUUGUCCGGAUUUACUGGGUGUAACGGGAGUGCAGCCGGGUUGACAAGCCAGAUGUGAACCCCUGCGGCUUAACCGUAGAACUGCAGUUGAAACUGUGGAUCUUGAGUACAGGAGAGGCAGACGGAAUUCCUGGUGUAGCGGUGAAAUGCUUAGAUAUCAGGAGGAACACCAGUGGCGAAGGCAGUCUGCUGGACCGCAACUGACGGUGAGGCGCGAAGGCGCGGGGAGCAAACAGGAUUAGAUACCCUUGUAGUC